GACGAACGCUGGCGGCGUGCUUAACACAUGCAAGUCGAACGGAAAGGCCCUGCUUUUGUUGGGUGCUCGAGUGGCGAACGGGUGAGUAACACGUGAGUAACCUGCCCUUGACUUUGGGAUAACUUCAGGAAACUGGGGCUAAUACCGGAUAGGAGCUCCUGCUGCAUGGUGGGGGUUGGAAAGUUUCGGCGGUUGGGGAUGGACUCGCGGCUUAUCCGCUUGUUGGUGGAGUAGUUGCUUACCAAGGCUUUGACGGGUAGCCGGCCUGAGAGGGUGACCGGCCACAUUGGGACUGAGAUACGGCGCAGACUGGUACGGGAGGCAGCAGUGGGGAAUAUUGCACAAUGGGCGGAAGCCUGAUGCAGCAACGCCGGGUGCGGGAUGACGGCCUUCGAGUUGUAAACCGAUUUCGACUGUGACGAAGCGUGAGUGACGGUAAUGGGUAAAGAAGCACCGGCUAACUACGUG
This 468-nucleotide ribosomal RNA is filed under the name uncultured bacterium. Its description in RNAcentral is "partial 16S ribosomal RNA". It matches the Rfam family "Bacterial small subunit ribosomal RNA", at positions 28 to 507 of the family's 1533-position model. The record is from RNAcentral.